This 3479-nucleotide long non-coding RNA is filed under the name Homo sapiens (human). Its description in RNAcentral is "HSALNT0002777". The record is from RNAcentral. Lineage: Eukaryota; Metazoa; Chordata; Mammalia; Primates; Hominidae.
AAGGCAGGAGAUCAACUGAGGUCAGGAAUUCGUAAUAUGCCUGGCCAACCUGGUGAAACCCUGUCUCUACUAAAAAUACAAAAAUUAGCUGGGCGUGGUGGCACAUGCCUGUAGUCCCAGCUACUCGGGAGGCUGAGGCAGGAGGGUUGCUUGAACCCGGGAGGCGGGGGCUGCAGUGAGCCAAGAUUACACCACUUCACUCCAGCCUGGGUGAAAGAGUGAGACUCCAUCUCAAAAAUAAAAUAAAAAUAGUAUCUGUACAGAGCCCGAUGUGGAAGAAGCUCAGCUAGUGUUAAUCGUUAUGACUAUUACUACUUACAUUAAUAAGCCAAACUUACAACUAUACUUUAUGAGACAUACUCUAGGCACCACAGAGUUCUCUUUUGCUAAGCAAAGAUUUAAUAGUGAACAGUGUUAAUUAUACAUUAUAUACAAUAUCAGGAAAAAAAAGAGUUGUAAUUUUUGAGGAAAAUCGCUUCAGCCUUUUGAGGCCUCCUUUGACAUACCAGUGGUUGACAAGACAGAAUUAAGAACAGUUAAAACAGUUAAAAAGCUGAUAAAAUUAAAUCAUCAAAGGUAGAAAGUUUUCCAACAGGAAAAAAGCCACUGAAGUUAACAGUCUUGUGGAAAAGAACAGAAGAAAGAAUAGGGCCAGGUAUGGCGACUCACGCCUGUAAUCCUGGCACUUUGGAAAGCCCAGGUGGGAAGAUCACGUGAGGCCACGAGUUCAAGACCAGCCUGGGCAACACAGUGAGGCCCCAUCUCUAGAAAAGAUAAAUUAGCCAGGCAUUUAUUAGCUUGCCUGUAGUCCUGGCUACUUGGGAGGCUGAGGUGGGGAGAACUGCUUGAGCACACGAGUUCAAAGCUGCAGUGAGCCAAGAUCACACCACUGCGCUGCAGCCUUAGUGACACAGCAAACUCCAUCUCAAAAAAAUAAUAAGUAAAAGAAUAUAGUUAUAAAGACGGUAGAGAUUAAUUUCUUAAGAAAAUAAUGCAGCUGAUUAGGGGUACUGUUUAACCAUCUGUAAUGGCUUCUAAACAAAUCUUUGUCAAGUGGUUCCUAAGCCAAAACUUCAACAGUUCUGCUUCCUUGGCUUUGGCUCUGCAGAAGUGAGUGACCAUCUGUUCCACCAUGAAAAUGCAAAAGCAAAAUCUACAUGCUAGAAAGUAAUGUCAACCAGAACCUCUGGGGAAACAGUUUAAUGGUCUUUUCCAAUUAAGAAUAGAAUUUCUUUUCUUUCAUAGCUAAAAUUAGAAUUUUUGCUUAAUCCAAAGAAAGAUAAAUUAAUCAGGUUCCAAAGAUAGGAGACCUUAACUAUAAUCCCAAAUUUUUAAAGUUUCUCUUAGUUAAAUGCAGUAUUUAAUGAACAUGGCUGGUGAGUUUCGUUCUCAUGACGUAUCAAGAUGGCAAGAGGGUCACAGCCUGAGAGAGAAUAAUUUCACAGGCUCUUUAAAGUAAGUAUUAAUUAAGAAUUGGUUAGCAAACCUUGACAAGGGCUAACAAAAUUUGGAAAAACAGCAAUGAUGAAAAAACAAAUGUCAAAAGGUGUUAGCAGAUUGUUUAGUUUUGUUUUCAUGUCAUUUUCCUGUUAAUUAUACCCAAAAGACAUGAUUAAAACAUACACCUGUUUCCUAAGAUUUAUACAGGACCAGGUUUCCUUUAAUUAAGUCCAUGUGGAUGCAUAGUCAGAAUCCAUGUGCAAUGAAUGCUUCUGUCAUAGUGCUAAGGAAAGGUCUCCACAUUUCUCAACAAUAGUAUCUUUCCUUCCUCAUUUUGUAGGUUAAGAAGCCAACAAUCUCUCUCCCAGCACUUUCUGAGACUCAUUUAUCAAAGGUAGCUUGUAGGUAGUUUCAGAGUGUAUGAAACACUGUAAAUGAGGUCACUAAGCCACCAACAGAGUACUGAAGCUAUUGAUCCAUGCUAGAGAUUUCUGGGAUUACCUCUGGGGUUUGUUGUUCCCCUUUCUGAACAUGGAAGUAAAAAUUAUAAAUGUGUUCUGCUCCUUUGGAAUGCCUGGAAGGGAAAAAUCAAACAUUCUUUUAUCUCAAUGUAAGUAAGGCGUAUGUCUUUGACAGUUGUGGAUGUUCGUGGAAGAGUGCGAUGACCUUCCUGUCUUUUCCCUUUACAUCACACUGAAACAAACUGUCCUUAUAGUUAACAGAACGUUAGAGUUGGAAGAAACUUUAAAUGAUCUAAACUUCUCAGCCUGUGCUUAAGUGCCUGGUGUGCAAUACAGCCACCAGGUGAUUAUUCAGUAAGUCUCUUUAAAAGCAGUAUCAUAAAGCAAAGAAACCAACCAAAAUCUCCCAACUUUUGAUUCCAGAAGAGUACAGAAUUCUGAGCACAGGUACCUAACAUCCAUACUAUUAAGAAUCAUUACUUGCUAGAGAGCACAGGAGUAAUUACUACAAUUACUUCUAGAAUUUGAUGUCUAGGAUUUAUCUGUUAUCUUUUGCAGUACUGUAAUUUUUUCUAGUCCAAGGACUUAUCUGAAUAUUGAACAUUUAUUGAACAUGAUUGUACUCUAUGAUCUUGGAAGCAGUCUUUAAUAAAAUACAAAAUGAUUUUUUAAACCUUUGAUUCAUUAAGUAAUUAGCAUUCAAUGUAUCUGGAAACAUCGUUUACCCUCUAUAAGAAUUCCAAAACACAUGAACUGGAGCUUGUAUUUAAAAAGGAAAAUGAUGGUGUUCAUUUCAAGGAGUAGAAAAGACUUAAAGUGAGGGCGACACUUAGCUACUUCUGAGGAUAUACUAUACUCAAAACCUUUAAAUAUAAGCUACGGUUCAGCAGCUUUUAAAAUUUCAUGUUUAUUCAUAUUUUUCAAAAUAUAUGUACAUUAAAAAAGGAAGAUUUACAACAGGAAAGAUUGCCUUACUUCAAAAACUUUAAGACAAUUAAAAUGUCAAGUGCCACAGGGAAGAGAAAUGAUAACCAGAAAUUUGUAUUUCUAGCUAGUACUAUUUAACACAACUUCACAAUACUAAAACAAAUACAAAUAAGAAAGGGUUAGGUAGUUGGGCUUCAUUUACUUUUUUCCUUUUCUUUUUUUUUUUAAUAUCUCAAAAAGGAAGCCACUUGCUUGAUAUCAAAAGUGCUGUGGAAAGAAAGGAGGGGAAAAAAACCCACAAAUAAAUGUAGAAUCUAGUUUAUUUUACCAAACUGUAUAUUUUUCCACUUAACAUUUCUACAUUAGCAAUGAUGUAACUCUCCAACAUUUCCUUAUAAAAAAGGCAAACAAGAAGUGACAACUCAUGCUCCAAAUAUUAAAAAAUAUAUUUAAACAUAUGAUCAAGAAGAUUUGGGCCGUGAGUGGUAGCUCACAUCUGUAACCCCAGGAUUUUGGGAGGCUGAGGCAGGCGGAUCACCUGAGGUCAGGAGUUCGAGACCAGCCUGACCAACACGGCGAAACCCCAUCUCUACUAAAAAUACAAAAAAAUUGCCAGGCGUGGUGGUACACACCUGUAAUCCCAGCUACUCG